CGGCGGACGGGUGAGUAACACGUGGGUAACCUGCCCAAGAGACUGGGAUAACACUUGGAAACAGGUGCUAAUACCGCAUAACCAUAGUUACCGCAUGGUAACUAUGUAAAAGGUGGCUAUGCUACCGCUUUUGGAUGGGCCCGCGGCGCAUUAGCUAGUUGGUGGGGUAAAGGCUUACCAAGGCAAUGAUGCGUAGCCGAACUGAGAGGUUGAUCGGCCACAUUGGGACUGAGACACGGCCCAAACUCCUACGGGAGGCAGCAG
This 264-nucleotide ribosomal RNA is filed under the name uncultured bacterium. Its description in RNAcentral is "partial 16S ribosomal RNA". It matches the Rfam family "Bacterial small subunit ribosomal RNA", at positions 96 to 354 of the family's 1533-position model. The record is from RNAcentral.